This 827-nucleotide ribosomal RNA is filed under the name Colletotrichum gloeosporioides. RNAcentral's name for it is "partial large subunit ribosomal RNA". It matches the Rfam family "Eukaryotic large subunit ribosomal RNA", at positions 73 to 927 of the family's 3401-position model. The record is from RNAcentral. Lineage: Eukaryota; Fungi; Ascomycota; Sordariomycetes; Glomerellales; Glomerellaceae.
GAUUGCCUCAGUAACGGCGAGUGAAGCGGCAACAGCUCAAAUUUGAAAUCUGGCCCCCAGGGUCCGAGUUGUAAUUUGCAGAGGAUGCUUUUGGCGCGGUGCCUUCCGAGUUCCCUGGAACGGGACGCCAUAGAGGGUGAGAGCCCCGUACGGUUGGACACCAAGCCUGUGUAAAGCUCCUUCGACGAGUCGAGUAGUUUGGGAAUGCUGCUCUAAAUGGGAGGUAUAUUUCUUCUAAAGCUAAAUACCGGCCAGAGACCGAUAGCGCACAAGUAGAGUGAUCGAAAGAUGAAAAGCACUUUGAAAAGAGGGUUAAACAGCACGUGAAAUUGUUAAAAGGGAAGCGCUUGUGACCAGACUUGCGCCCGGUGAAUCACCCAGCUCUCGCGGCUGGGGCACUUUGCCGGCUCAGGCCAGCAUCAGCUCGCCGUCGGGGACAAAAGCUUCGGGAACGUAGCUCUCUUCGGGGAGUGUUAUAGCCCGCUGCACAAUACCCUUCGGCGGGCUGAGGUACGCGCUCCGCAAGGAUGCUGGCGUAAUGGUCAUCAGCGACCCGUCUUGAAACACGGACCAAGGAGUCAACCUUAUGUGCGAGUGUUCGGGUGUCAAACCCCUACGCGAAAUGAAAGUGAACGCAGGUGAGAGCUUCGGCGCAUCAUCGACCGAUCCUGAUGUUCUCGGAUGGAUUUGAGUAAGAGCAUAUAGGGUUGGACCCGAAAGAAGGUGAACUAUGCGUGUAUAGGGUGAAGCCAGAGGAAACUCUGGUGGAGGCUCGCAGCGGGUUCUGACGUGCAAAUCGAUCGUCAAAUAUGCGCAUGGGGGGCGAA